This 250-nucleotide ribosomal RNA is filed under the name uncultured bacterium. Its description in RNAcentral is "partial 16S ribosomal RNA". It matches the Rfam family "Bacterial small subunit ribosomal RNA", at positions 29 to 258 of the family's 1533-position model. The record is from RNAcentral.
AACGUACGCUGGCGGCGUGGUUAAGACAUGCAAGUCGAACGGUUUUUCAGGUGUAGCAAUACACUUGAAAAGCAGUGGCGAACGGGUGCGUAACACGUGAACAAUCUACCUUAAAGUGGGGAAUAGCUCGCCGAAAGGCGAAUUAAUACCGCAUACGGUUGGGACUCGCAUGAGCCCCAUACCAAAGUCGGGGACCGCAAGGCCUGACGCUAUAAGAGGAGUUCGCGGCCUAUCAGCUAGUUGGCGAGGU